This is a regulatory RNA element of 45 nucleotides. It matches the Rfam family "uup RNA". The record is from Rfam.
GGACAAGCUCCGCACAAAUGGAUUGGAUGAGACAUUGUACGGAGC